AAAAGACGACCUCAGUUCGGAUUGAAGGCUGAAAUUCGCCUUCAUGAAGUCGGAAUUGCUAGUAAUGGCAGGUCAGCAUACUGCCGUGAAUACGUUCCCGGGCCUUGUACACACCGCCCGUCACACCAUGAGAGUUGGAGAUACCCGAAGCCUAUGAGCUAACUUUUAGAGGCAGUAGUCGAAGGUAGAAUCAAUGAUUGGGGUGAAGUCGUAACAAGGUAUC
Molecule: ribosomal RNA, 223 nt
Filed under: uncultured bacterium
Lineage: Bacteria
Description: partial 16S ribosomal RNA
Rfam family: Bacterial small subunit ribosomal RNA
Source: RNAcentral